Molecule: ribosomal RNA, 305 nt
Filed under: uncultured bacterium
Lineage: Bacteria
Description: partial 16S ribosomal RNA
Rfam family: Bacterial small subunit ribosomal RNA
Source: RNAcentral
ACAGCAGCAGCCGCGGUAACACGUAGGGUGCGAGCGUUAAUCGGAAUUACUGGGCGUAAAGCGUGCGCAGGCGGUUGUGUAAGACAGGUGUGAAAUCCCCGGGCUUAACCUGGGAACUGCGCUUGUGACUGCACAGCUAGAGUAUGGCAGAGGGGGGUGGAAUUCCACGUGUAGCAGUGAAAUGCGUAGAGAUGUGGAGGAACACCGAUGGCGAAGGCAGCCCCCUGGGCCAAUACUGACGCUCAUGCACGAAAGCGUGGGGAGCAAACAGGAUUAGAUACCCCCGUAGUCCCUGUCUCUUAUAC